GCUGAGGCACAGUAACUUAAGCUGCAAUAAGUUGACAGCCCUGAUGCUUCUAAAAACAAGGUACUGCAAAGUGAGCAAGGAUUAUUAUCUCAAGCACUUAAAACAAUAUUUUGUGAUGGAAAACUAUAGCUCAUUUUACCAGAGCACAUCGUAUUGGCAGAGAAUGAAGAUGGUAUGGAUACUUUUUCAAACAAGAAGGCUUUGACAAUUCUACAUGAAAUGUUGGGAUUGGGAAGUGGGAAAGAAGAAACUAUAACUGAAGAACUUGUGAAGUACACAAAUCAAACAAUUAGUUUGACACACUUUUGCUGAAAGAUGCAGUAACUCAAUUCUUUCAAAUAAGACGCGCAUAAUCUGUAAUAAAUACGCUAUAUUGGGCCUUACUGCUACAGAUCAAGGACUACUACUUUCUCUCCAGCAGUUACAUGUGCUGUUGCAGUGUUAAGACCCCAUAUAGAGGAUGAACUUCACAAAUAUCCUACAAAUGCCUUGAUUAAUUGAAGGAAAAUUACUGCAGAGAUGAAACCAAGUAAGGACGCCAUUUCGGAAAACAGAAGCAUGAAACAAAAACGUCCAAAAUGCAACAAAAACUCCAGGAGAAGCUUCCAAAAUCUGAUUCAUAUAUGUGAGUACCUAAGAAUGGAACUGUAGGUAGGGAAUACCUCAAGGAUGCUUCACACCUGCAGACAUAUGAACGCACAUGUAAAAAAAACCUGCACCUCUGUGUUUGCUUUUGCUGAUGCUGCAGACACCUGGAAUGCACUUUCAAAACCCAGCCAGGAGUGGUCACUGCACACGCAUCUGUUAGUUGUAUGUGUCUUGCUCUUCUUAUGCUACCUUACUUUGCCCAGACAUACUGCAAAGAGACAACUUUGUUGCCAUUUUGUUGUACGUACGUUACCAAAGGGACCUCAACAGAGCACGUUCAAACAGAAGUCCCUUCAGAACUGGCACGCUGCUGUAUUUCUACAGACUACUGCCUACCUCGCCUAGCACAGCUGGUCACAGCCUCUGCAAACACCCAAGACGGUCUCUCUUCCUGACUCUUUAACGCUAAAAAUGACAAAUAUUCUAGACCGUCUAGACAGAUGACAGCGCCAAAAAGAAACGGCAUGUCACCGCUGUUUGCGGAGAGGCGACUCACUUCCACCAGCCCACCACUGACACUGAAACGCUACCAAAACCCCAGGCGUUUAUUUUCAGUUUCUUAUCUUCCGGGCAGGCAAAAAGUCAGUCAGUCAGUUCAGUUUCGCAUUCACCCAAAGCCGGGUCAGGCUCCCGGCUCCGAGCGGCGGCGGCUCCAGCUGCCCGCCCAGCCCUCCCCAAACUUUCCGCGAAUGCCAUAAACACCCCUUGGAUCCCGACCCCCGCAAGCUCUCCAGCCAAGGUACGUCCCCAGCCAGGAGAAGACAGCAAGGGCAGCUCCAUACGGAAAAAUAAAACCCAAGCGGACAUUCAUACACC
Aptenodytes forsteri (emperor penguin) is the source of this 1464-nucleotide long non-coding RNA. RefSeq lists it as uncharacterized. The transcript has 2 exons. The record is from RefSeq and is a predicted model, not a curated record. NCBI's taxonomy places the organism in Eukaryota, Metazoa, Chordata, Aves, Sphenisciformes, Spheniscidae.